Molecule: ribosomal RNA, 111 nt
Filed under: Erinaceus europaeus (western European hedgehog)
Lineage: Eukaryota; Metazoa; Chordata; Mammalia; Eulipotyphla; Erinaceidae
Source: RNAcentral
GUCUAUGGCCAUAUCACCCCAAAUUCACCCAAUCUUGUCUGAUCUUGGAAGCUAAGCAAGCUCAGGCCUGGUAAGUACUUGGAUGGGAGAAAAACAAAGUUGACAUUGGUC